GACGAACGCUGGCGGCGUGCUUAACACAUGCAAGUCGAACGGAAAGGCCCUGCUUUUGUGGGGUGCUCGAGUGGCGAACGGGUGAGUAACACGUGAGUAACCCGCCCUUGACUUUGGGAUAACUUCAGGAAACUGGGGCUAAUACCGGAUAGGAGCUCCUGCUGCAUGGUGGGGGUUGGAAAGUUUCGGCGGCUGGGGAUGGACUCGCGGCUUAUCAGCUUGUUGGUGGGGUAGUGGCUUACCAAGGCUUUGACGGGUAGCCGGCCUGAGAGGGUGACCGGCCACAUUGGGACUGAGAUACGGCCCAGACUCAUACGGGAGGCAGCAGUGGGGAAUAUUGCACAAUGGGCGGAGGCCUGAUGCAGCAACGCCGCGUGCGGGAUGACGGCCUUCGGGUUGUAAACCGCUUUCGCCUGUGACGAAGCGUGAGUGACGGUAAUGGGUAAAGAAGCACCGGCUAACUACGUG
This 468-nucleotide ribosomal RNA is filed under the name uncultured bacterium. RNAcentral describes it as "partial 16S ribosomal RNA". It matches the Rfam family "Bacterial small subunit ribosomal RNA", at positions 28 to 507 of the family's 1533-position model. The record is from RNAcentral.